GUAGCUCAAUUGGUAGAGCAACAUCCGGCGGUCGUUCACACGCCCACCCGUACCUCGUAGAGCGGGCCGGAGUCCUUCGGUUAUCUGGCACACAGCAGCAUUGCGGGUUCGAGUCCCGCCCCGG
RNAcentral lists this transfer RNA (124 nucleotides) under Promicromonospora sukumoe. RNAcentral's name for it is "tRNA-OTHER". The record is from RNAcentral. Lineage: Bacteria; Bacillati; Actinomycetota; Actinomycetes; Micrococcales; Promicromonosporaceae.